AGGAGGAUUGAGAAGGUAAGAUUAGUUAUUUUGUACUGGUUCUUACUGGUUAUGGCCUCCAAGAUUAAAGCGGUGCAAAUCAGCCCAUGUUCUCUGUCCUGAUUUGAGGGGAAACAAUACUGCUUUUGCACAUACAGU
Molecule: small nucleolar RNA, 138 nt
Filed under: Crocodylus porosus (Australian saltwater crocodile)
Lineage: Eukaryota; Metazoa; Chordata; Crocodylia; Crocodylidae
Description: Small nucleolar RNA SNORA47 (ENSCPRG00005017442.1)
Rfam family: Small nucleolar RNA SNORA47 (bases 1-120)
Source: RNAcentral